CCCUAUGGGGUGCAGCAGGCGCGAAAACUUCACACUGCAGGAAACUGUGAUGAGGGAACUCCUAGUGCAUGCACUAUGUGUAUGUAGAUCCUACUUUUAAUCAGUAGAGGGAAAGGGCUGGGAAAGACCGGUGCCAGCCGCCGCGGUAAUACCGGCAGCUCAAGUGGUCGUCGCUUUUAUUGGGCCUAAAACGUCCGUAGCCUGUUUGGUAAAUCUGUGGGUAAAUCAAUCCGCUCAACGGAUUGAAUUCUGCAGAGACUGCCAGACUAGGGACCGGGAGAGGUGUGGGGUACUCGAGGGGUAGGGGUAAAAUCCUGUCAUCCUUCGAGGACCACCAGUUGCGAAGGCGCCACACUGGAACGGAUCCGACGGUCAGGGACGAAGCCUAGGGGCACGAACCGGAUUAGAUACCCGGGUAGUCCUAGGUGUAAACGCUGUGAACUUGGUGUCGGGGGUCCGCAAGGGGUCCCCGGUGCCGGAGUGAAGAUGUUAAGUUCACUGCCUGGGGAGUACGGUCGCAAGGCUGAAACUUAAAGGAAUUGGCGGGGGAGCACUGCAACGGGAGGAGCGUGCGGUUUAAUUGGAUUCAACGCCGGAAAACUCACCAGGGCCGACGAUUAUAUGAAGACCAGCGUAACGAGCUUGUCGGAUUUAUCGAGAGGUAGUGCAUGGGCCAA
This 677-nucleotide ribosomal RNA is filed under the name uncultured Candidatus Poseidoniales archaeon. Its description in RNAcentral is "bacterial SSU rRNA". It matches the Rfam family "Archaeal small subunit ribosomal RNA", at positions 321 to 1002 of the family's 1478-position model. Lineage: Archaea; Methanobacteriati; Thermoplasmatota; Candidatus Poseidoniia; Candidatus Poseidoniales. The record is from RNAcentral.